Molecule: ribosomal RNA, 741 nt
Filed under: uncultured bacterium
Lineage: Bacteria
Description: bacterial SSU rRNA
Rfam family: Bacterial small subunit ribosomal RNA
Source: RNAcentral
CAGUCGAACGGGAAACUUUUCAUUGAAGCUUCGGCAGAUUUGGUCUGUUUCCAUUGGCGGACGGGUGAGUAACGCGUGGGUAACCUGCCUUAUACAGGGGGAUAACAACCAGAAAUGGUUGCUAAUACCGCAUAAGCGCACAGGACCGCAUGGUCCGGUGUGAAAAACUCCGGUGGUAUAAGAUGGACCCGCGUUGGAUUAGCUAGUUGGCAGGGUAACGGCCUACCAAGGCGACGAUCCAUAGCCGGCCUGAGAGGGUGAACGGCCACAUUGGGACUGAGACACGGCCCAGACUCCUACGGGAGGCAGCAGUGGGGAAUAUUGCACAAUGGGGGAAACCCUGAUGCAGCGACGCCGCGUGAAGGAAGAAGUAUCUCGGUAUGUAAACUUCUAUCAGCAGGGAAGAUAGUGACGGUACCUGACUAAGAAGCCCCGGCUAACUACGUGCCAGCAGCCGCGGUAAUACGUAGGGGGCAAGCGUUAUCCGGAUUUACUGGGUGUAAAGGGAGCGUAGACGGACUGGCAAGUCUGAUGUGAAAGGCGGGGGCUCAACCCCUGGACUGCAUUGGAAACUGUUAGUCUUGAGUGCCGGAGAGGUAAGCGGAAUUCCUAGUGUAGCGGUGAAAUGCGUAGAUAUUAGGAGGAACACCAGUGGCGAAGGCGGCUUACUGGACGGUAACUGACGUUGAGGCUCGAAAGCGUGAGGAGCAAACAGGAUUAGAUACCCUGGUAGUCCACGCC